UGUGAAAUCCCCGGGCUCAACCUGGGAACUGCAUUUGAUACUGGCAAGCUAGAGUCUCGUAGAGGGGGGUGGAAUUCCAGGUGUAGCGGUGAAAUGCGUAGAUAUCUGGAGGAAUACCGGUGGCGAAGGCGGCCCCCUGGACCAAUACUGACGCUCAGGUGCGAAAGCGUGGGGAGCAAACAGGAUUAGAUACCCUGGUAGUCCACGCUGUAAACGAUGUCGAUUUGGAGGUUGUGCCCUUGAGGCGUGGCUUCCGGAGCUAACGCGUUAAAUCGACCGCCCGGGGAGUACGGCCGCAAGGUUAAAACUCAAAUGAAUUGACGGGGGCCCCCACAAGCGGUGGAGCAGGUGGUUUAAUUCGAUGCAACGCGGAAAACCUUACCUACUCUUGACAUCCUGAGAACUUUCCACAGAUGGAUUG
This 421-nucleotide ribosomal RNA is filed under the name uncultured Serratia sp. RNAcentral describes it as "bacterial SSU rRNA". It matches the Rfam family "Bacterial small subunit ribosomal RNA", at positions 593 to 1013 of the family's 1533-position model. The record is from RNAcentral. Lineage: Bacteria; Pseudomonadati; Pseudomonadota; Gammaproteobacteria; Enterobacterales; Yersiniaceae.